Molecule: transfer RNA, 66 nt
Filed under: Inopinoteuthis magna
Lineage: Eukaryota; Metazoa; Mollusca; Cephalopoda; Octopoda; Cirroteuthidae
Description: Cirrothauma magna tRNA-Arg
Source: RNAcentral
UAGUAAGAAAUGAAAAUUCAUUUACGGUUUCGACCCGUAAUUACUGGUGCUAAUGCACCCUACUAC